RNAcentral lists this ribosomal RNA (1665 nucleotides) under Yersinia pestis. RNAcentral's name for it is "partial 23S ribosomal RNA". It matches the Rfam family "Bacterial large subunit ribosomal RNA", at positions 1302 to 2925 of the family's 2925-position model. The record is from RNAcentral. Lineage: Bacteria; Pseudomonadati; Pseudomonadota; Gammaproteobacteria; Enterobacterales; Yersiniaceae.
AUAAGUAACGAUAAUGCGGGUGAAAAACCCGCACGCCGGAAGACCAAGGGUUCCUGUCCAACGUUAAUCGGGGCAGGGUGAGUCGACCCCUAAGGCGAGGCUGAAAAGCGUAGUCGAUGGGAAACAGGUUAAUAUUCCUGUACUUGGUGUUACUGCGAAGGGGGGACGGAGAAGGCUAGGCUGGCCGGGCGACGGUUGUCCCGGUUUAAGCGUGUAGGGGGAGUGACCAGGUAAAUCCGGUUGCUUAUCAACCCUGAGGCGUGAUGACGAUGCACCACGGUGCAGAAGCAGUUGAUGCCAUGCUUCCAGGAAAAGCCUCUAAGCAUCAGGUAACAUUAAAUCGUACCCCAAACCGACACAGGUGGUCAGGUAGAGAAUACUCAGGCGCUUGAGAGAACUCGGGUGAAGGAACUAGGCAAAAUGGUGCCGUAACUUCGGGAGAAGGCACGCUGGCGUUAGGUGAAAGGACUAGCUCCUGGAGCUGAAGCCAGUCGCAGAUACCAGCUGGCUGCAACUGUUUAAUAAAAACACAGCACUGUGCAAACACGAAAGUGGACGUAUACAGUGUGACGCCUGCCCGGUGCUGGAAGGUUAAUUGAUGGGGUCAGCCGCAAGGGGAAGCUCUUGAUCGAAGCCCCAGUAAACGGCGGCCGUAACUAUAACGGUCCUAAGGUAGCGAAAUUCCUUGUCGGGUAAGUUCCGACCUGCACGAAUGGCGUAAUGAUGGCCAGGCUGUCUCCACCCGAGACUCAGUGAAAUUGAACUCGCUGUGAAGAUGCAGUGUACCCGCGGCAAGACGGAAAGACCCCGUGAACCUUUACUAUAGCUUGACACUGAACAUUGAGCCUUGAUGUGUAGGAUAGGUGGGAGGCCUUGAAGUGUGGACGCCAGUCUGCAUGGAGCCAACCUUGAAAUACCACCCUUUAAUGUUUGAUGUUCUAACUCGGCCCCAUGAUCUGGGGUGAGGACAGUGUCUGGUGGGUAGUUUGACUGGGGCGGUCUCCUCCCAAAGAGUAACGGAGGAGCACGAAGGUUAGCUAAUCACGGUCGGACAUCGUGAGGUUAGUGCAAAGGCAUAAGCUAGCUUGACUGCGAGAGUGACGGCUCGAGCAGGUACGAAAGUAGGUCUUAGUGAUCCGGUGGUUCUGAAUGGAAGGGCCAUCGCUCAACGGAUAAAAGGUACUCCGGGGAUAACAGGCUGAUACCGCCCAAGAGUUCAUAUCGACGGCGGUGUUUGGCACCUCGAUGUCGGCUCAUCACAUCCUGGGGCUGAAGUAGGUCCCAAGGGUAUGGCUGUUCGCCAUUUAAAGUGGUACGCGAGCUGGGUUUAGAACGUCGUGAGACAGUUCGGUCCCUAUCUGCCGUGGGCGUUGGAAGAUUGAGAGGGGCUGCUCCUAGUACGAGAGGACCGGAGUGGACGAAUCACUGGUGUUCGGGUUGUCAUGCCAAUGGCAUUGCCCGGUAGCUAAAUUCGGAAGAGAUAACCGCUGAAAGCAUCUAAGCGGGAAACUUGCCUCGAGAUGAGUCUUCCCUGGGGCUUAAAGCCCCCUGAAGGAACGUUAAAGACUAUGACGUUGAUAGGCUGGGUGUGUAAGUGCAGCGAUGUAUUGAGCUAACCAGUACUAAUGAUCCGUGAGGCUUAACCUUACAACACCGAAGGUGUUU